This 1209-nucleotide long non-coding RNA is filed under the name Oryctolagus cuniculus (rabbit). Its description in RNAcentral is "lncRNA (ENSOCUG00000035714.1)". The record is from RNAcentral. Lineage: Eukaryota; Metazoa; Chordata; Mammalia; Lagomorpha; Leporidae.
UCCCCCUCACCUCACCUCACCUCACCUCACUUCACUUCACCUCACCUCACCUCACCUCACUUCACCUCACCUCACCUCACUCACCUCACCUCACUUCACCGCACCUCACCUCACUUCACUUCACCUCACCCCACCCUCACCUCACCUCAGCUCCUCUGCCCUCCUUUUACCUCACCUCACCUCAGAUCACCUCACUCCACCUCACCUCACACCUCCCCCCUCCCAUCACCUCACCUCACUGCAGCUCCCCUCCCCUCCCCUCCCCUCAGCUCCCCUCACCCCACCUCAACUCACCUCACCUCAUUUCAGUUCUCCUCACUUCACUUCAUCUCAGCACAACCUUACCUCAGAACGCAGUGGCAUGGGGACCCUUGGGGGCCUGACGAGGAGUUGACAGACAGCCUUUGCCCCCUCAGGACACUCCCAUCCUCCGCCAUCCUCCUACAGGUCCCACCUCCCAGCCCCAGUUUCCCUGGCGAUCACCCCUCUGCCCAUGUCCAUCCCAUCAGCGUCAGAGCCAGGUCUCAGGUCCUGCUCUCUGGUCAACACUGAAAUAGCAGGAGAAGAAGGUGGGCACCAACUAACCCUGGGGGCCCUUUCCUGAGAGGCCAGGCCAAGGCAGGCCAAGCCCUGCACACGGAGGCCACGGAGAAUGAGUGAGGUUGGCAAGUUCACAUGCAGGACCCACAGGGCAAGGCCGGGACAGCAGGAGGAGGGGUAACGUAUGCAGCACAGGGCUGGGCCACUUGCAACUGUGUUGGUCCCGGAUGGGUCUGGAAUCUUCAGCAGAAGCAGGAGGGUACCUGCCUGGGUCCACAACGACCACAUCUGCUCCCGACAGCAUCAUCAUCCCUUGGCAACAUGGGAAAACCUGGAACUCCCCAGAGUGGUUGGAAGACCAGUGCCUUGCAAGAUGCGCAUCACUCAGGAGAGCCAGUCCAAAGCGAUGGGUUUGACCCGGAGCCUGAAGACCUGGGACAGUUUGUUAACAGAAGAUCCUCUUGCGCCACCUGCUGCUUUCCUUCUGCCCAGUUUCGCGGGUUCUCUUCCAUUAGCUACACAGCCGUGCUGCACAGGCAGGGCCAAGGCACCACCUUCAACAACGUCCUGCUCCACUCAGCCUGUGUCUCCACUCCACGCAGACUCGUCCUCCAUUGCCAAGCUGUGUACUCAGAUGUGACUGGUCCAACUUGUUUUCACUUCCCAUGA